AUGCGCAGCGUUUGAGCAAUAGGAUGUCUCCCAAGGGUAACCUGUUUGUUCGCUGCGACAAGAGUUAUACGCCCUUUCUCUUCAGUAGCGCAAUACACGUAUAUAUAUAAUCUGUGUCCUAAGAGUAAGAUAUUAUGAGGAGUGGUGUGUAGCUACUUCGUGUUGGGGCCAUUCAGAGAUUGGAGGCUCGAAAACUUGACCGAAAAGUCAGUGGUACAACUUACAAGCAAGGCUUCCAACUCAACUGUGUUUUGUUUUGUCCGUCCAAGGAUGCGUCUCCCAGGUGGACCAGUGACUUUAAACAGGCCUUAAUGUGCGUCUCUGUCAAUCAGUGUUUUAUGGCUGCUUUGCAAUGGGCUGGUGUUCCAGAUUAUUUUCUUAAUUUUGCUUCUGCAUUUUUUUUUUUU
Molecule: long non-coding RNA, 407 nt
Filed under: Scleropages formosus (Asian bonytongue)
Lineage: Eukaryota; Metazoa; Chordata; Actinopteri; Osteoglossiformes; Osteoglossidae
Description: lncRNA (ENSSFOG00015027614.1)
Source: RNAcentral